Molecule: long non-coding RNA, 313 nt
Filed under: Homo sapiens (human)
Lineage: Eukaryota; Metazoa; Chordata; Mammalia; Primates; Hominidae
Description: HSALNT0346145
Source: RNAcentral
CAAAAACAUUUUUUUAAUCUCUUAAGCAUUAUGGUUCACCUUGGAGAAGGAUUAAUGCUUCUGAGAUGGAGGUUUCUUUGCUGUUAGGGUGAAACCAUGAGUGCCUGCAACUCUCUUUUAAUGGAUUCUGGAAGUGGAGGCCGUCUGCAUCUCCUGCCUCUGAAAGCUGGAAUCUGAAAGCAUCCAGGCUGAGCUGUAUCUAGACUUCGUAGUUAUGCAGCGGCUUCACUGCAAAAUUCAACCUCUAAUUCUAGUUGCUUAUGGCAUAAACAAAGGGAAAUGGCAGCUAUUUGGUGUGGUAAAUGAACAUUUU